AUUGAGAACAGAAUAAGGAAAAGAAUGCGAGCAUUCGCAUUUUCAUUCUUUUUGGGCUCCUCAACACUUCAAACAGAGAAGAAGAAAACAAUCGGCAGAGAGCGGUGAAGAUUGGAAGGAGGCUGUGUAUUAUAUGAUGAUACCGCAACAAUGGGCGUCUCCUUGUGGAAACCAAUGCACGCAGAAAUACGCAGCCCUCACCCAGAUUCCUUGGCGGGUAUUUUGCAAAAAAGGGUGUGAUGCAGAUGGGGAGGCCUGGGAGGAAUGCUUGGAAGAAUGCACUGAGAUAUGCUAUAAGGAUCCUGUAUUUAAGGACCACCAGUGGAGUGCUUACAUUGACCGAUCUCCUGGGUCUGCCAGUUACUCAGAGGAAUGUUUCCAUGCCUGUGUAUCUGGUUGCGGCUUUAAGUUUGAUGUCGAACCAGAGAAAGCUGACAAAAUCCAACCAAACAGGCCUGCAAAGCCAGUGCCUGUUGUUUCAAAACCAUCCCCACGACCUCCAAUCGCUGAAUCCAUUGCCAAAAAUGAAGAUUUACCAAGCACUUCUGCAUAGCAACAUGAUGCAGAUAAACGAGGAAACCUGACGCAACAAAAUUGUAGUCAGUCUGUUUAGGCUGACGUCUCCCAUUGCUAUGUUUUCCCGCACGUGGGCUUCCAUAUUCUGUUGGAUUAUAUAUUAUGACAGUCACUUGUAAGUGCAGUCCUUCCUUGCCUGUGAAAGGACUUUGGUCUCUGACAUAGAUGUUUGUCCUGUAUGCUGAGAGUUGCUAAUUGUCUUCCUUGUUGUAGCUUCCAUUGCUCUGGCUUCAAAAGUUGGAGAAUUUUGUGAAACGAUAAUUUAAUAUAGGGAAUUGGGGAAUUGGGGACCGGUUGUUCUGCUGUAGCUUGCUUUUCUUCUGUGCAUUUACACUGAGCUCGUAAAAGUAUAUUAGCAGGAUUCAUUUCAUUAGGGAUUUGAGAAAUGUAGUUUUCAUUUAUAUAUAUAUAUAUAUAUUGAAAUC
RNA transcript from Benincasa hispida (wax gourd), 1001 nucleotides. It is a transcript of the gene named defensin-like protein, with no coding region annotated. Lineage: Eukaryota; Viridiplantae; Streptophyta; Magnoliopsida; Cucurbitales; Cucurbitaceae. The record is from RefSeq and is a predicted model, not a curated record.